This is an RNA transcript of Apus apus (common swift), 3962 nucleotides long. It is a transcript of the gene named CUGBP Elav-like family member 4, with no coding region annotated. NCBI's taxonomy places the organism in Eukaryota, Metazoa, Chordata, Aves, Apodiformes, Apodidae. The record is from RefSeq and is a predicted model, not a curated record. The transcript has 14 exons.
GCAGAGGCAAAAGCAAUCCCCCACCCCCAGCCUUCUUUCCCCACACACACACACAUCCACGCACUAACACCCCACCCCCUAGUCUGGCUGGGAAUUUGAACCGAUCCAGCCUGUUUAAACGGAAAGGACACAGAUCUUCAAUGUAAAAAAAAAAUCAGAUCAGACCCAGAGAGAGAGAGAGACGGAGAGGGAGGAGUGUGUGUGUGUGUGAGUGUGUGUGUGUGUGUGUGAAAGAGGGAGAGGGAGCGAGAGAGCGAGAGAGAGGGAGAGAGAGAGAGAGCGAGAGAGGGAGGGAGAGAGAAAAGAAGAGGGGGAAAAAAAGGAAAGAAGAUUUUCUCUAUGUAUAUAAAGAUGGCCACGUUAGCAAACGGACAACCAGACAAUACCAGCCUGAGUAGCAAUCACAGCAACCCCAGCACCAACGGCCAUAUGAACGGAUUAAACCAUAGUCCCGGAAACCCAUCCACCAUCCCAAUGAAGGACCACGAUGCCAUUAAGCUCUUUAUUGGGCAGAUCCCCCGUAACCUGGACGAGAAAGACCUCAAACCUCUCUUCGAGGAGUUCGGGAAGAUCUAUGAACUGACGGUGCUGAAGGACAGGUUCACUGGCAUGCACAAAGGCUGUGCCUUCCUAACAUAUUGUGAAAGAGAGUCUGCUCUAAAGGCCCAGAGUGCACUGCAUGAACAGAAGACACUGCCAGGGAUGAACAGGCCUAUCCAGGUGAAACCAGCGGACAGCGAAAGCCGAGGAGAAGACAGAAAACUCUUCGUGGGUAUGCUCAAUAAGCAGCAGUCAGAAGACGACGUGCGCAGGCUAUUCGAGGCAUUUGGCAACAUUGAAGAGUGUACAAUCCUUCGAGGACCCGAUGGCAACAGCAAAGGGUGUGCAUUUGUGAAAUACUCUUCACAUGCGGAAGCCCAAGCAGCCAUCAAUGCCUUGCAUGGCAGCCAGACAAUGCCGGGAGCCUCUUCUAGCCUGGUGGUGAAGUUUGCAGAUACAGACAAGGAGCGUACAAUGAGACGCAUGCAGCAAAUGGCAGGACAGAUGGGCAUGUUCAACCCCAUGGCCAUCCAGUUUGGAGCUUAUGGCGCCUAUGCACAGGCACUGAUGCAGCAGCAGGCCGCGAUCAUGGCGUCGGUGGCGCAGGGUGGCUACCUGAACCCCAUGGCAGCCUUUGCCGCAGCCCAGAUGCAGCAGAUGGCAGCUCUCAACAUGAACGGCCUGGCAGCCGCCCCCAUGACACCAACCUCAGGUGGAAGCACGCCUCCUGGCAUAACUGCACCAGCUGUGCCUAGCAUCCCAUCUCCCAUUGGAGUGAAUGGUUUCACUGGCCUCCCGCCACAGGCUAACGGGCAGCCUGCCGCAGAAGCCGUGUUUGCUAAUGGCAUCCACCCUUACCCAGCACAGAGCCCCACUGCAGCAGACCCCUUGCAGCAAGCCUACGCUGGAGUGCAGCAGUACGCAGGUCCUGCUUAUCCUGCUGCUUAUGGCCAGAUUAGCCAAGCGUUCCCACAGCCACCUCCUAUGAUCCCACAGCAACAGAGAGAAGGACCAGAAGGCUGUAACCUGUUUAUCUACCAUCUGCCCCAGGAGUUUGGGGAUGCUGAGCUGAUGCAGAUGUUCCUGCCUUUCGGUAAUGUCAUCUCCUCGAAAGUGUUUGUGGAUCGGGCGACAAACCAAAGUAAAUGCUUUGGUUUUGUGAGUUUUGACAAUCCUGCCAGUGCUCAAGCUGCUAUCCAAGCUAUGAAUGGCUUCCAGAUUGGCAUGAAAAGGCUGAAGGUGCAGCUGAAGAGGCCAAAGGAUGCUAAUCGUCCCUACUGAAGAGUUGUGGGAAUCAGUGGAUACAAAGCACUAGCACAGAGCCAGUCAAAUCCACCACAGUCUCGCGCUGAGCUAGGAAAAAAGUUCACGUAAUGACAUGAAAGUGGAGAAUACAGUCCCCCAGGCCGGCAGCAGCUGAAUGGGCCACAUUUAGGAAAAAAAAAAAAAAAGUAUAUAUAUUAAAAAAAACCACAUGAGCUGUUGGAUUACACCUUUGACAUAUCAGCAAAUAUCAAUCAAGCUGAAGACUUCAGACCUAUUCUCUCUUUGAUUGUUUAGACUGUAACAUUUCUUCAAGAAAAGUAUCACAUCUGCUGACUUCGAAGGACAUGCGCUUGAAAACAAACAAAACACAUAAGUAAGAUCAGAACAGGAAGAUCAACCAGGAUUUCUGAAGAGACACUGAAAUCACCACAGCGGCUUUUCUUCAAACAGGAGAUGCAAACCUGGAUACUGACAAAGGAGUGCCUGUUUGCCACCAAGGAUGCGGUUACCAUGAGCGACCCAUGGUAACAGUCACUGAGCAUCUUUAUCUGUCAUUCCUUAGCUAUAUAGGGACCAAAGGACAAAACUUUUUACCGCAGACUUGUAGCUGUAUGUAAAAUACGAAAGUUCUUUCCUUUUCUCUGAGCUGUUCCUAAAACAGUUUUUGAGAGUGAUUAUAUGAAAUAUGUAAAAACUAAAAAAAAAAAAACACAAACAAAAAAAACUAAAAAAACCACAACAAAAAACAAACAAACAUAAAAAAACCACAAAAAAUAAAAAAGCAACAAAAACCACAAACCUAAUAAUGCUUAAAUGCUUUUAAAACAGCAAGAUAAUAGAUCUUUGAUACUUUGGGAGGUUCUUUGGUUAUACAUUAAUUAGAGUCUAUGAAGCUUUCGUAUGGUUUUCUGUAUAAUACGUAAGGAUCACACUGUUAAAGGCAGGUAAGAUGGAUAUCUAUGAAAAGCAAAAAAAAUACUAAAUAAAUACAUAAAUAAAUACAUAAAAAAGCAUAGAGAAGAGAAAGGAAAGAUGGUUGAUAUUAAAUGGAAAACAAAAAAGGUUUGUAAAUGCUUCUAACUCUCCCCAUUUAAAAUCCUAAUAGUUGUACAGAAUUUAAAAGAAGAAAGUUUAAAAUACCUAUAUAAUAGAAAAAAAUUAGACAACAAAAAAAAUAAAAAAACUUAAAAAACACAAAAAAGCAAAAAAAAAUAUUACAUAGAAGUUAGCGUUAAUGCUAAAAACAAAGAUGUUGUAGAACUGUAAUUUUUGUAGAGUUUAGAUUGAGCAUAAAUUCCUACUCUGCCAAUUGCUGUUGGAUGCUGUUAUUUAUCAAGGAGAUAAAGGAGAUAAAUGGCUACUUUGCCAGCUUUUUUAACUGCAAUCAUUCCAGCUAUUAAAAAAUAAAACUUCAUUCUGUAGACAAUGCAAAUGGGAAACAAAACAGCUGUCAUUUUAUCAGACGUUAGUUCUAACUUGAACAACAAAACACAGCUAAAUGCUUCAUGUCUUCAUGAUCUGCUGUCUGCAAUUUCCCAUCAUCCUAUGCUUCAGUAGCUUCCAUAUUUGCUCUAGAAACCUUCAGGGCAAAGGUUUAGCCUAGAACCUUAACCUUAAAAAAAAAAAAAAAAAAAAAAAUUAAAAAAAUAAAACCAAAAAAAAACCACAAGAAACAAACAAUCUUUGAAGAACUUCUGAAACUGUUUACAAGGAAUUUUGAAAAACAGGGGGAUGUUUAAAAAAUAAAAUAUGCUGGCUCUGAUUUCUGUAAAUAAAUUUGCAUAUUUUGUAGGACUUUUAAUUGUAAUGAUAGAGAAAAACAAGGAAAACUAUUUAAUGAAAGCACGAUAUUUAUCUUUGGUAAAUGACUUUAGAGCAGUUAAAAAAUAAGACAUUGCUUUAAAAAAUCUGACUCAGAAAAAACAAUGAAUUAUUUAAGAACACAUAUAUUUUAAAGUAUAUCAUAUUUAUUAUAAUUUAUUUUCACACUCUUAAAAAUUGAUUUACAUCAUUCUCACACUUGUUUGUCUUGAUUGAGCAGUGUGAUAAUUGUUUCUGAUUCUUUAUUUGGUUUUAGUCUGUUUUAAUCUUCUUGUUUUCUUUUCUUAGUAUUUUUAUCUUAAUCUCAAAGUUGCUUCCUUUCUCUUUUUUUUUUU